GAUGAACGCUGGCGGCGUGCCUAAUACAUGCAAGUCGAGCGAACGGACGAGAAGCUUACUUCUCUGAUGUUAGCGGCGGACGGGUGAGUAACACGUGGAUAACCUACCUAUAAGACUGGGAUAACUUCGGGAAACCGGAGCUAAUACCGGAUAAUAUUUUGAACCGCAUGGUUCAAAAGUGAAAGACGGUCUUGCUGUCACUUAUAGAUGGAUCCGCGCUGCAUUAGCUAGUUGGUAAGGUAACGGCUUACCAAGGCAACGAUGCAUAGCCGACCUGAGAGGGUGAUCGGCCACACUGGAACUGAGACACGGUCCAGACUCCUACGGGAGGCAGCAGUAGGGAAUCUUCCGCAAUGGGCGAAAGCCUGACGGAGCAACGCCGCGUGAGUGAUGAAGGUCUUCGGAUCGUAAAACUCUGUUAUUAGGGAAGAACAUAUGUGUAAGUAACUGUGCACAUCUUGACGGUACCUAAUCAGAGAGCCACGGCUAACUACGUG
This 497-nucleotide ribosomal RNA is filed under the name uncultured bacterium. Its description in RNAcentral is "partial 16S ribosomal RNA". It matches the Rfam family "Bacterial small subunit ribosomal RNA", at positions 28 to 507 of the family's 1533-position model. The record is from RNAcentral.